GACGAACGCUGGCGGCGUGCUUAACACAUGCAAGUCGAACGGUGAAGCGCCUUCCUUUUUGGUGGGUGUGGAUGAGUGGCGAACGGGUGAGUAACACGUGAGUAACCUGCCCCCUUCUUCUGGAUAACCGCAUGAAAGUGUGGCUAAUACGGGAUAUUCUGGGUCUGUCGCAUGAUGGGUCUGGGAAAGAUAUUGUUUCGGUGGGGGAUGGGCUCGCGGCCUAUCAGCUUGUUGGUGGGGUGAUGGCCUACCAAGGCGGUGACGGGUAGCCGGCCUGAGAGGGUGGACGGUCACACUGGGACUGAGACACGGCCCAGACUCCUACGGGAGGCAGCAGUGGGGAAUAGUGCACAAUGGGCGCAAGCCUGAUGCAGCGACGCCGCGUGAGGGAUGGAGGCCUUCGGGUUGUGAACCUCUUUCGCCAGUGAAGCAGGCCUGCCUCGUUUGUGGGUGGGUUGACGGUAGCUGGAUAAGAAGCGCCGGCUAACUACAUG
This 494-nucleotide ribosomal RNA is filed under the name uncultured bacterium. RNAcentral describes it as "partial 16S ribosomal RNA". It matches the Rfam family "Bacterial small subunit ribosomal RNA", at positions 28 to 507 of the family's 1533-position model. The record is from RNAcentral.